Molecule: unclassified non-coding RNA, 216 nt
Filed under: Hevea brasiliensis (rubber tree)
Lineage: Eukaryota; Viridiplantae; Streptophyta; Magnoliopsida; Malpighiales; Euphorbiaceae
Source: RNAcentral
GUCUCAAAUUCCCAUUUCAAUGGAUACUUGCCAUUUCAAAAUACAACCACGGACAGCUAUAGACAAGUUUAGUUGACUUUUGCACGCUAAUUAGUAUAUGAAAUGUUAGACCAAAAAUAAAACAAAAUAAUCACAAGCAACUCUUCAUUUAAUGUUUCUAAAGAAUCCCUUGCAGAUUCACACUGCUACCACCAACCCACCCACAGAAAAGAAAAA